GUGGGGAAUAUUGCACAAUGGGGGAAACCCUGAUGCAGCGACGCCGCGUGAGUGAAGAAGUAUUUCGGUAUGUAAAGCUCUAUCAGCAGGGAAGAUGAUGACGGUACCUGAGUAAGAAGCCCCGGCUAACUACGUGCC
This 138-nucleotide ribosomal RNA is filed under the name uncultured bacterium. RNAcentral describes it as "partial 16S ribosomal RNA". It matches the Rfam family "Bacterial small subunit ribosomal RNA", at positions 354 to 509 of the family's 1533-position model. The record is from RNAcentral.